Molecule: transfer RNA, 72 nt
Filed under: Inmirania thermothiophila
Lineage: Bacteria; Pseudomonadati; Pseudomonadota; Gammaproteobacteria; Chromatiales; Ectothiorhodospiraceae
Rfam family: tRNA
About the family: Transfer RNA (tRNA) molecules are approximately 80 nucleotides in length. Their secondary structure includes four short double-helical elements and three loops (D, anti-codon, and T loops).
Source: Rfam by way of RNAcentral
UGGGGCGUCGCCAAGCGGUAAGGCACGGGGUUUUGGUCCCCGCAUUCCCAGGUUCGAAUCCUGGCGCCCCAG